AACGCGAAGAACCUUACCAGGUCUUGACAUCCCACUGACCGGUGUAGAGAUACACUUUUCCCUUCGGGGACAGUGGUGACAGGUGGUGCAUGGUUGUCGUCAGCUCGUGUCGUGAGAUGUUGGGUUAAGUCCCGCAACGAGCGCAACCCUUGAUCUUAGUUGCCAGCAUUUAGUUGGGCACUCUAAGGUGACUGCCGGUGACAAACCGGAGGAAGGUGGGGAUGACGUCAAAUCAUCAUGCCCCUUAUGACCUGGGCUACACACGUGCUACAAUGGAUGAUACAGAGGGUUGCCAACCCGCGAGGGGGAGCUAAUCCCAUAAAAUCAUUCCCAGUUCGGAUUGGAGGCUGCAACUCGCCUCCAUGAAGCCGGAAUCGCUAGUAAUCGUGGAUCAGCAUGCCACGGUGAAUACGUUCCCGGGCCUUGUACACACCGUACGUC
RNAcentral lists this ribosomal RNA (441 nucleotides) under uncultured bacterium. RNAcentral's name for it is "bacterial SSU rRNA". It matches the Rfam family "Bacterial small subunit ribosomal RNA", at positions 958 to 1398 of the family's 1533-position model. The record is from RNAcentral.